Molecule: ribosomal RNA, 253 nt
Filed under: uncultured bacterium
Lineage: Bacteria
Description: partial 16S ribosomal RNA
Rfam family: Bacterial small subunit ribosomal RNA
Source: RNAcentral
UACAGAGGGUGCGAGCGUUAAUCGGAAUUACUGGGCGUAAAGCGCACGUAGGCGGCUUUGCAAGUCGGUUGUGAAAUCCCCGGGCUCAACCUGGAAACUGCACCCGAGACUGCAUUGCUAGGGUACGGUAGAGGGAAGCGGAAUUGCCGGUGUAGCGGUGAAAUGCGUAGAUAUCGGAAGGAACACCAGUGGCGAAAGCGGCUGCCUGGACCAGUACCGACGUUCAGGCACGAAAGCGUGGGGAGCAAACAGG